Molecule: ribosomal RNA, 408 nt
Filed under: uncultured bacterium
Lineage: Bacteria
Description: partial 16S ribosomal RNA
Rfam family: Bacterial small subunit ribosomal RNA
Source: RNAcentral
GACGAACGCUGGCGGCGUGCUUCACACAUGCACGUCGAACGGAGUGGCGAACGGGUGAGUAACACGUGGGUGAUCUGCCUUGCUCUUCGGGAUAAGCUUGGGAAACUGGGACUAAUACCGGAUAGUGCAAGAGGAGCUAGCGGCCUAUCAGCUUGUUGGUGGGGUAAUGGCCUACCAAGGCGUCGACGGGUAGCCGGCCUGAGAGGUUGUACGGUCACAUGGGGACUGAGAUACUGCCGAGAGUCCUACGGGAGGCAGCAGUGGGGAAUAUUGCACAAUGGGCGGAAGCCUGAUGCAGCGACGCGGCGUGGGGGAUGAAGGCCUUCGGGUUGUAAACUCCUUUCGUCAGGGACGCGGUACCUGUAUAAGAAGCACCGGCUAACUACGUGCCAGCAGCCGCGGUAAUUC